CCCGGGCUGCCCGGGGGCGUCCGGCGCUCCCCGAGGGCGGGCGUGUCCCCGCGGCGCCGGGCGGGGCACGGGCGCGGGGCCUCAGCCUGUUGGAGCGCCGGGGGCGCCGGACUCGGGGGCUUCGGGAGCCCUGCAGGGGCCGGGCCGCCCGAGUCCCACGCAGAGCAGUGUUUUCCAACUCUCCGCCUGUGUCUAAUCGGGCCCACCACCACCCGGAGACACCCCGUCCAGAUCUGCCGAGAAUCCACAGGUUGCAAAGUACGUUCCCAAGAAAACAAGGCAUCUGUGUAUAAGGAUACUAGCUCACCUAUUUUCAGGUCUCAUGAGGAACUGGUUUGGUGGUUUUUUGAGGAAAGGCAGCCUGUAGCCAUUAAUGGUAAGACUGAUUAUAUUUUUUCAUUCCUUGACAAUGAUCAGCUAGAGCAACAUUAAAAAGUUGGAAUUCAGUACGAAUGGUGGCAUUUCUAGUUGCAGGGGUCUGAUUAUAAAUGAUCCAUAAAGAGACAAUCUCUGCAUAUCCAAGAGGCAAGACCACAAGGUCAUAUAAUGUUAAAAAAAAAGGAAGUGUUAGUCAUGUCUGACUCUUUGAGACCCCAUGGACUGUAGCCCACCAGGCUCCUCUGUCCAUGGAAUUCUCCAGGCAGCAGUACUGGAGUGGGUAGCCAUUUCCUUCUCCAGGGGAUCUUUUCAAGCUAGGGAUAGAAAUCAUGUCUCCUGCAUUGCAGGCAGAUUCUCUACCAUCUGAGUCACCAGGGAAGCUCAUAUAAACUAAGGGUAGUAAUUGAAGCCAUAGGCAUUCAGUGGCAUCUGGUUGGUUAGCUGAAAAUUUUAGGCUUAGUGUUUAUUUUUUUUCCCUAUUUUUCAAGAGUAUUGGAAAUGACAAGAAAAUGAAGUUUCCGAGUAAGUGACAAAUCUUUGUAUAGUUUACAAACAGCUGGGCCAGUAAAAUAUGUUCCUCUAUUGCUGGAUAUGGAGAAGGCAAUGGCAACCCAUUCCAGUACUCUUGCCUGGAAAAUCCCAUGGACAGAGGAGCCUGGUAGGCUGCAGUCCAUGGGGUCGCUAGGAAUCGGACACGACUGAGCGACUUCACUUUCACUUUUCAAUUUCAUGCAUUGGAGAAGGAAAUGGCAACCCACUCCAGUGUUCUUGCCUGGAGAAUCCCAGGGACGGGGGAGCCUGGUGGGCUGCUGUCUCUGGAGUCGCACAGAGUUGGACACGACUGAAGUGACUUAGCAGCAGCAGCAUAGCUGGAUAGAUAAUUCUGAAUGUCUGAGCAGGAAACACAGUAUCUAUAUUUGUUUUAGCCACUAUGAGGUUGUAGUUCUAUAGGAAAUUGGUGCAACAUGUUCAGAUAAUAAACUACUAUUAGGAUAUUGCCAUAUCCAUAGCAGAAGGAAAUGAUACAAAAUCUCUUUGAAGAGCUGAAAAGAUCUUUUAGAACAAAGUUCCAGUUCAG
Molecule: long non-coding RNA, 1456 nt
Filed under: Ovis aries (sheep)
Lineage: Eukaryota; Metazoa; Chordata; Mammalia; Artiodactyla; Bovidae
Description: lncRNA (ENSOARG00000026154.1)
Source: RNAcentral